GCCUUUCACCCCUGGUCCAUUACGGAUUUUUUGCGUGUUUCGGCCCCCCUUUCGAUGUGUACCAAUUUCGCUGUGCUUCGAUGGGGCGACGGUUGUGUCCAUAAUUGUUUGAUUUGGAUUGUCGCAUUAACUUUGGAUCCGAAUGAGAGGGGUAAUGAGGGGAUGUUCCAUUUUUUAUAUAUGAAUCUUUUUCGCAUGAUUCGAGUGGCCAAGGUCACAACAGGCAUUUUUGAAUUUUAUUCCCAAAGUUUUCUGACCAUUUUCCUUCUAUCGCGUGACACGGCUGCCGCUCUGACGUCACAUGC
Molecule: long non-coding RNA, 305 nt
Filed under: Androctonus crassicauda
Lineage: Eukaryota; Metazoa; Arthropoda; Arachnida; Scorpiones; Buthidae
Source: RNAcentral